GAUGAAGAACGCAGCGAAAUGCGAUAAGUAAUGUGAAUUGCAGAAUUCAGUGAAUCAUCGAAUCUUUGAACGCACCUUGCGCCCUUUGGCCAUUCCGAAGGGCAUGCCUGUUUGAGUAUCAUGAACACCUCAACUCUUUAUGGUUUUCCAUGAUGAGCUUGGACUCUGGGGGUUUUGCUGGCUCACAGUCGGCUCCUCUAAAAUAAAUCAGCUUACCAGUGUUUGGUGGGUAACAUGGGUGUGAUAACUAUCUACGCUUGUGGUUUUUCCACCAGGUAACCUUCAGCAGUGGAGGUUCGCUGGAGCUCAUAGAUGUCUCUCCUCAGUGAGGACAGCUCUUUGAACGUUUGAUCUCAAAUCAGGUAGGACUACCCGCUGAACUUAAGCAUAUCAAUAAGCGGAGGA
RNAcentral lists this unclassified non-coding RNA (405 nucleotides) under soil metagenome. RNAcentral describes it as "partial contains 5.8S ribosomal RNA, internal transcribed spacer 2, and large subunit ribosomal RNA". The stretch from base 1 to 121 matches the Rfam family "5.8S ribosomal RNA", at positions 35 to 154 of the family's 154-position model. The record is from RNAcentral.